UAACACAUGCAAGUCGAGGGGCAGCAUGGUCUUAUCUUGCUAAGGCCGAUGGCGACCGGCGCACGGGUGAGUAACACGUAUCCAACCUGCCGUCUACUCUUGGACAGCCUUCUGAAAGGAAGAUUAAUACAAGAUGGCAUCAUGAGUCCGCAUGUUCACAUGAUUAAAGGUAUUCCGGUAGACGAUGGGGAUGCGUUCCAUUAGAUAGUAGGCGGGGUAACGGCCCACCUAGUCUUCGAUGGAUAGGGGUUCUGAGAGGAAGGUCCCCCACAUUGGAACUGAGACACGGUCCAAACUCCUACGGGAGGCAGCAGUGAGGAAUAUUGGUCAAUGGACGAGAGCCUGAACCACCCAAGUAGCGUGAAGGAUGACUGCCCUAUGGGUUGUAAACUUCUUUUAUAAAGGAAUAAAGUCGGGUAUGCAUACCCGUUUGCAUGUACUUUAUGAAUAAGGAUCGGCUAACUCCGUGCCAGCAGCCGCGGUAAUACGGAGGAUCCGAGCGUUAUCCGGAUUUAUUGGGUUUAAAGGGAGCGUAGAUGGAUGUUUAAGUCAGUUGUGAAAGUUUGCGGCUCAACCGUAAAAUUGCAGUUGAUACUGGAUAUCUUGAGUGCAGUUGAGGCAGGCGGAAUUCGUGGUGUAGCGGUGAAAUGCUUAGAUAUCACGAAGAACUCCGAUUGCGAAGGCAGCCUGCUAAGCUGCAACUGACAUUGAGGCUCGAAAGUGUGGGUAUCAAACAGGAUUAGAUACCCUGGUAGUCCACACGGUAAACGAUGAAUACUCGCUGUUUGCGAUAUACGGCAAGCGGCCAAGCGAAAGCGUUAAGUAUUCCACCUGGGGAGUACGCCGGCAACGGUGAAACUCAAAGGAAUUGACGGGGGCCCGCACAAGCGGAGGAACAUGUGGUUUAAUUCGAUGAUACGCGAGGAACCUUACCCGGGCUUAAAUUGCAGAUGAAUUACGGUGAAAGCCGUAAGCCGCAAGGCAUCUGUGAAGGUGCUGCAUGGUUGUCGUCAGCUCGUGCCGUGAGGUGUCGGCUUAAGUGCCAUAACGAGCGCAGCCCUUGUUGUCAGUUACUAACAGGUUCCGCUGAGGACUCUGACAAGACUGCCAUCGUAAGAUGUGAGGAAGGUGGGGAUGACGUCAAAUCAGCACGGCCCUUACGUCCGGGGCUACACACGUGUUACAAUGGGGGGUACAGAGGGCCGCUACCACGCGAGUGGAUGCCAAUCCCCAAAACCUCUCUCAGUUCGGACUGGAGUCUGCAACCCGACUCCACGAAGCUGGAUUCGCUAGUAAUCGCGCAUCAGCCACGGCGCGGUGAAUACGUUCCCGGGCCUUGUACACACCGCCCGUCAAGCCAUGGGAGCCGGGGGUACCUGAAGUGCGUAACCGCGAGGAGCGCCCUAGGGUAAAACUGGUGACUGGGGCUAAGUCG
This 1435-nucleotide ribosomal RNA is filed under the name uncultured organism. Its description in RNAcentral is "SSU rRNA". It matches the Rfam family "Bacterial small subunit ribosomal RNA". The record is from RNAcentral.